Molecule: long non-coding RNA, 675 nt
Filed under: Mytilus galloprovincialis (Mediterranean mussel)
Lineage: Eukaryota; Metazoa; Mollusca; Bivalvia; Mytilida; Mytilidae
Source: RNAcentral
GCCGUUUCAAGCUGAUUGUCAUAUAAAACAUAAAAAGAAGAUGUGGUAAGAUUGCCAAAGAGACCAUAUGACACACAAAAUCAACAACUAUAGGUCACCGUAUAUUUGUUUUCCGCUUAACGUUGUAGUAUUAAUAAGGUCGUUUGUUUUACUUCUUUUCUUAAAUCUAUAUGACAAAGCUGUAUUAUAUUUUGUCAUAUCGAGGCCCUGAAUUACUAUAUUUAUACUAUAAAAUUGAGAAUGGAAAUGUGGACUGUUUCAAACAGACAACAACCCGACCAUUGAGCAGAAAACAGCCGAAGGCCACCAACGGGUCUUCAAUGCAUCGAGAAACUACCGCACCCGGAGGAGUCCUUCAGCUGGCCCCUAAACAAAUGUCUACUAGUUCAGUGAUUAUGGACGUCAUACUUAACUCCGAAUUAUACACUAGAAACUAAAAUUAAAAAUCAUACUGUAUGAUAUAAAUUCAUUGUUGAGUGCCGUACGUUGAUCUCUAAAUGUUGACACAUUUUAUCUUUGGUCACUAUUUAUUGAUCCUUUUUUUUUUCAUUUGCUAACCUACUACAUCAUCUUUUUAUGCAUAUAUAUAUUCAAAACAAUUGAGAAAUAUAUAUAUAAAACGUCACUGGUUUGCGAUCAUUACCGCCAUGAUAAUUUGGCAGAUAGAUAUCUUUG